UACGUAGGGGGCAAGCGUUAUCCGGAUUUACUGGGUGUAAAGGGAGCGUAGACGGCAAGGCAAGUCUGAUGUGAAAACCCAGGGCUUAACCCUGGGAUUGCAUUGGAAACUGUCUGGCUCGAGUGCCGGAGAGGUAAGCGGAAUUCCUAGUGUAGCGGUGAAAUGCGUAGAUAUUAGGAAGAACACCAGUGGCGAAGGCGGCUUACUGGACGGUAACUGACGUUGAGGCUCGAAAGCGUGGGGAGCAAACAGG
RNAcentral lists this ribosomal RNA (253 nucleotides) under Fusicatenibacter saccharivorans. RNAcentral describes it as "partial 16S ribosomal RNA". It matches the Rfam family "Bacterial small subunit ribosomal RNA", at positions 524 to 776 of the family's 1533-position model. Lineage: Bacteria; Bacillati; Bacillota; Clostridia; Lachnospirales; Lachnospiraceae. The record is from RNAcentral.